AUUGAACGCUGGCGGCAUGCCUUACACAUGCAAGUCGAACGGUAACGGGCCUUCGGGUGCCGACGAGUGGCGAACGGGUGAGUAAUGCAUCGGAACGUGCCCGAUCGUGGGGGAUAACGAGGCGAAAGCUUUGCUAAUACCGCAUACGAUCUACGGAUGAAAGCAGGGGACCGCAAGGCCUUGCGCGGACGGAGCGGCCGAUGGCAGAUUAGGUAGUUGGUGGGAUAAAAGCUUACCAAGCCGACGAUCUGUAGCUGGUCUGAGAGGAUGAUCAGCCACACUGGGACUGAGACACGGCCCAGACUCCUACGGGAGGCAGCAGUGGGGAAUUUUGGACAAUGGGCGCAAGCCUGAUCCAGCCAUGCCGCGUGCAGGAUGAAGGCCUUCGGGUUGUAAACUGCUUUUGUACGGAACGAAAAGCCUUCUUUUAAUACAGGAGGGUCAUGACGGUACCGGAAGAAUAAGCACCGGCUAACUACGUG
This 482-nucleotide ribosomal RNA is filed under the name uncultured bacterium. RNAcentral's name for it is "partial 16S ribosomal RNA". It matches the Rfam family "Bacterial small subunit ribosomal RNA", at positions 30 to 507 of the family's 1533-position model. The record is from RNAcentral.